RNAcentral lists this ribosomal RNA (489 nucleotides) under Triticum aestivum (bread wheat). RNAcentral's name for it is "partial small subunit ribosomal RNA". Lineage: Eukaryota; Viridiplantae; Streptophyta; Magnoliopsida; Poales; Poaceae. The record is from RNAcentral.
AUGCUUACGGAGUUCUAUCAUGCACAAUCAUGUGUGCACAUCGGUCUAUCCAGAAGAUUAGCUCGCGACCCUCUCCGCCGGCUCCCCGGGGGUCGCAUCCGGCUUGCCGCAAGUACACCUACGCCGCCGCCUCCCCGGGGGCCGCAAGGUGAAGUGGACGACCGGGGAGAAGGCAUGUGGCGGGGGGCAGGCUCUCAAGUGGGAGACAGAGCUCGCCUCCCCCAACGACGACAACUUCGACCUCAAGUGGAAGUGGGAGGCCAAGUCCAAGCCUGGCGCCGUUGGCAGGCCAAAACCAAGUGGGGCACUGAGGAAGCCAACAAGGAUGACAAGAAGAAGCCGGUGAGGAAGUGUGUCCAGAGCAAGGAGAUCCCCGUUGGCUGGACGUCCAGAUCGAGACUUCAUUUGAUAGACGCAAUAAUAGGAACUGGCUUCUAUGGUGUACGAGACAAGCUCAAGCACUACAAGGACACAAUGGGCAUUUUCUAA